AGUGAACGCUGGCGGUAGGCCUAACACAUGCAAGUCGAACGGCAGCACAGUAAGAGCUUGCUCUUACGGGUGGCGAGUGGCGGACGGGUGAGGAAUACAUCGGAAUCUACUUUUUCGUGGGGGAUAACGUAGGGAAACUUACGCUAAUACCGCAUACGACCUACGGGUGAAAGCAGGGGAUCUUCGGACCUUGCGCGAUUGAAUGAGCCGAUGUCGGAUUAGCUAGUUGGCGGGGUAAAGGCCAACCAAGGCGACGAUCCGUAGCCGGUCUGAGAGGAUGAUCAGCCACACUGGAACUGAGACACGGUCCAGACUCCUACGGGAGGCAGCAGUGGGGAAUAUUGGACAAUGGGCGCAAGCCUGAUCCAGCCAUACCGCGUGGGUGAAGAAGGCCUUCGGGUUGUAAAGCCCUUUUGUUGGGAAAGAAAAGCAGCAGGUUAAUACCCCGCUGUUCUGACGGUACCCAAAGAAUAAGCACCGGCUAACUUCGUG
Molecule: ribosomal RNA, 492 nt
Filed under: uncultured bacterium
Lineage: Bacteria
Description: partial 16S ribosomal RNA
Rfam family: Bacterial small subunit ribosomal RNA
Source: RNAcentral